This 101-nucleotide transfer RNA is filed under the name Thermofilum pendens Hrk 5. It matches the Rfam family "tRNA". From Rfam's summary of the family: Transfer RNA (tRNA) molecules are approximately 80 nucleotides in length. Their secondary structure includes four short double-helical elements and three loops (D, anti-codon, and T loops). The record is from Rfam by way of RNAcentral. Lineage: Archaea; Thermoproteati; Thermoproteota; Thermoprotei; Thermofilales; Thermofilaceae.
GGGCCGGUAGCUCAGCUAGGUAGAGCGACGGUGUGGGACAAGCUAGCCCUGCGUCGAGGCUUUUAACCCGUAGGUCCCGGGUUCGAAUCCCGGCCGGCCCG